This 347-nucleotide long non-coding RNA is filed under the name Bos taurus (domestic cattle). Its description in RNAcentral is "long non-coding RNA NONBTAT016810". The record is from RNAcentral. Lineage: Eukaryota; Metazoa; Chordata; Mammalia; Artiodactyla; Bovidae.
GUGUCGUCUGUUUCUUAUAUCAUGAGAAAUUUCCCUACUUUAUAGUCUGGUUCAUAUGCACACAGCAUUAUUUAGAUAAUUGCAGUGCCAGAGUUUAGGUUGUAGAAUCCCAUUUUGCUAGUGUAUAUUAGUAUUAAGCAUGUGAUUUGAUCCUUUCUGAAUAUUUAUUAAUUUGAAGUCUUCAAAUACUUAAAAACUCAUGAGUGUCCUAUUUUAUAGGUUUUUCUCAAAUUUUAAGUCCUAAUUUACAUAAAAUGAAAAAACAUUCUGAUUGUUUUCUUUGGGAGAUACUUUUAUAUUUCAGGCCUUCAAUCGCUAAGUAAUUGAAUUUCUUUUCAUAAAGUACA